CCCUUAGACACUCUAGGCGGCACGCGCGCUACAAUGGGUGGAAGACCGUGUUACUGCCUUCGAAAGAAGGGGUGAAUCACGAAUUCUUACCCGUGAAUGGGAUAGUUUGUUGCAAUUUUCGGACUUGAACUAGGAAUCCCUUGUAAGCAUGCUCAAGAAUAGCGUGUUGAAUACGUCCCUGCCGUUUGUACACACCGCCCGUCGUUUCUUCCGACUGAUACUCAUUGUGAGUUGCAAGGACCCUUUAUUGGGAAAGUGCUGCGAAUGCUUUGUAUUGGAGGAAGAAAAAGUCGUAACA
RNAcentral lists this ribosomal RNA (298 nucleotides) under uncultured eukaryote. Its description in RNAcentral is "partial 18S ribosomal RNA". It matches the Rfam family "Eukaryotic small subunit ribosomal RNA", at positions 1470 to 1796 of the family's 1831-position model. The record is from RNAcentral.